This 1031-nucleotide ribosomal RNA is filed under the name uncultured feedlot manure bacterium A18. RNAcentral describes it as "bacterial SSU rRNA". It matches the Rfam family "Bacterial small subunit ribosomal RNA", at positions 28 to 1024 of the family's 1533-position model. Lineage: Bacteria; Bacillati; Bacillota. The record is from RNAcentral.
GACGAACGCUGGCGGCGUGCCUAAUACAUGCAAGUCGAACGCUUCUUUUUCACCGAACUUCGGUUCAUCGAAAAAGAGGAGUGGCGAACGGGUGAGUAACACGUGGGUAACCUGCCCAUCAGAAGGGGAUAACACUUGGAAACAGGUGCUAAUACCGUAUAAUGCUUUUUCUCGCAUGAGAGGAAGCUGAAAGGCGCUUUUGCGUCACUGAUGGAUGGACCCGCGGUGCAUUAGCUAGUUGGUGAGGUAACGGCUCACCAAGGCCACGAUGCAUAGCCGACCUGAGAGGGUGAUCGGCCACACUGGGACUGAGACACGGCCCAGACUCCUACGGGAGGCAGCAGUAGGGAAUCUUCGGCAAUGGACGAAAGUCUGACCGAGCAACGCCGCGUGAGUGAAGAAGGUUUUCGGAUCGUAAAACUCUUGUUGUUAGAGAAGAACAAGGAUGAGAGUAAAAAGUUCAUCCCUUGACGGUAUCUAACCAGAAAGCCACGGCUAACUACGUGCCAGCAGCCGCGGUAAUACGUAGGUGGCAAGCGUUGUCCGGAUUUAUUGGGCGUAAAGCGAGCGCAGGCGGGUUCUUAAGUCUGAUGUGAAAGCCCCCGGCUCAACCGGGGAGGGUCAUUGGAAACUGGGAGACUUGAGUGCAGAAGAGGAGAGUGGAAUUCCAUGUGUAGCGGUGAAAUGCGUAGAUAUAUGGAGGAACACCAGUGGCGAAGGCGGCUCUCUGGUCUGUAACUGACGCUGAGGCUCGAAAGCGUGGGGAGCAAACAGGAUUAGAUACCCUGGUAGUCCACGCCGUAAACGAUGAGUGCUAAGUGUUGGAGGGUUUCCACCCUUUCAGUGACUGCAGAUAACGCAUUAAGCACUCCGCCUGGGGAGUACGACCGCAAGGUUGAAACUCAAAGGAAUUGACGGGGGCCCGCACAAGCGGUGGAGCAUGUGGUUUAAUUCGAAGYAACGCGAAGAACCUUAACARGYCUUUGACAUCCUUUGGACCAUCCCUAGAGAUAGGACUUUCCCCUUCCCGG